Molecule: non-coding RNA, 24 nt
Filed under: Rattus norvegicus (Norway rat)
Lineage: Eukaryota; Metazoa; Chordata; Mammalia; Rodentia; Muridae
Source: RNAcentral
UAUCUUCUGCCUUUUGCCUUUCAA